This 253-nucleotide ribosomal RNA is filed under the name uncultured bacterium. RNAcentral's name for it is "partial 16S ribosomal RNA". It matches the Rfam family "Bacterial small subunit ribosomal RNA", at positions 524 to 776 of the family's 1533-position model. The record is from RNAcentral.
UACGUAGGGUGCUAACGUUGUUCGGAAUCACUGGGCAUAAAGAGCGCGUAGGCAGUCUGAUAAGUCAGGUGUGAAAUCCCCCGGCUCAACCGGGGAACUGCACCUGAUACUGUUGGGCUUGAGUGCAGGAGGGGAGAGCGGAAUUCCUGGUGGAGCGGUGAAAUGCGUAGAUAUCAGGAGGAACGCCGGCGGCGAAGGCGGCAUCCUGGACCGGCAUUGACGCUGAGGCGCGAAAGCUAGGGGAGCAAACGGG